RNAcentral lists this ribosomal RNA (253 nucleotides) under uncultured bacterium. Its description in RNAcentral is "partial 16S ribosomal RNA". It matches the Rfam family "Bacterial small subunit ribosomal RNA", at positions 524 to 776 of the family's 1533-position model. The record is from RNAcentral.
UACAGAGGUGGCAAGCGUUGUUCGGAAUUAUUGGGCGUAAAGGGCGCGUAGGCGGCACUGUUAGUCAGGCGUGAAAUUCCUGGGCUCAACCUGGGGACUGCGCUUGAUACGGCAGAGCUUGAGGAUGGAAGAGGGUCGCGGAAUUCCCAGUGUAGAGGUGAAAUUCGUAGAUAUUGGGAAGAACACCGGUGGCGAAGGCGGCGACCUGGUCCAUUACUGACGCUGAGGCGCGACAGCGUGGGGAGCAAACAGG